Molecule: long non-coding RNA, 1657 nt
Organism: Gasterosteus aculeatus aculeatus (three-spined stickleback)
Lineage: Eukaryota; Metazoa; Chordata; Actinopteri; Perciformes; Gasterosteidae
Source: Ensembl
AUCGUGUUGAACUGAUCUUAACUGGGACAUUCAAGCUGAGAUUGCAGAGGGAUUAAUUGUGUGUAUUUGUUUCUGCAGGGUCGACAGUGUGCUAAAGCAAAUGACAGAGCUACGUGACCAUGACAGAAGAUUGCAGCUUCUGGAGACAAAGCUGGAGUACUGCUGCAGCGCUCUCUCCUGGAUGACAGACGCUCUGUCUCAGAGUCCCCUGAUGAAGGCUGGCCGCCUGCCCUCUGCCCCUCAGAGAUCUGACUCUGUCUGCAAGCAGACUACCUGAACUCUGGGAUCUCACACACACAUAUACACACACAAUGUUUUUUUCGAUGAAUCUUGAAUUUUGUUUUUUAAAGAUUCAUUUAAUUUGAUAUAUUUGUCAACAGUAGUACUGCUGGAAUGCAUUGUUGUCUGCUACAGUCCGACUAGAUUUUUAUAGCUCAAACCUUUUGUUUUGAAAAUUGUAGCUGAAUAUAUAUGUGGGUUAUGUGCUACACUGUACACGGUAGCCAUCCGCAUGGAAUCAAAGCCUGUGUAGGGAUGGCAUCAUUGUUUUGCAAGAGGGACGCUCGGGUGAUGUAGGUUAGAGGUUCCUCCGUCACCAUUUUACGUUCCAGUCUUACACUAAGCCACACAUUCAAGUGAAAAGGUCCUCUAGACCAAACUACGGUGGCCUUGAAGUGCAAAACACAACGACAAAUAGGAAAACACAACGAAAUUGACUUCUUACAGAAAGGGAAGGGCCUUAUAGCAGGAAGCAGUGGACGGACCCUUCUCAUGAUCUGGCGAUGUUUUACGAGUGUCUUAAAAGUGUCCUACUAGUGUUUCACCAUUGUUUUGUUGUUCAAUUAUAUUUAGGUGUUGUAUUUAAAAGUAAAUAAAAGCGCAGGGGGGGGUGGGGGGGUUGCCGCGGACGCUACGCGGGGGUCGGGUGCCGCGAACACUACGGCCGGUGGACGCCGCGGACGCGAUGGCCGACACGGCUCGGGGACCGAGGAAUUGGAUGUGUGGCGGGACUGCGUGACAAGAGACCGAAAUGGGGGACACUUGAGAGCCCUGCAUCCUUUCCUGUUAAAAGACAGACAGUCCGUCUGUCCAAUCAGAAGGGUCCAUCCUCUGCUAUAUGGCCCUACCCUUUCCGUAAGGAGUUCAUUUUGUUGUGUUUUCCUAUUUGUCGUUGUGUUUUGCACUUGAGGGUCACCGUACCAAACAGACCAAGUCAGGUUUUGUUAAAUAAAGGGCUUUACUUGUGUCAUAUGAAACUAGAAAUAUUCCUGUCUUCUACACUGGUUUUCUAGCCUUCUGACCACUCAAAGCUCUUUAACACUUCAUGUCGUUAUUCAGCCGAUCACACACACUGAUGACAGCAGCUACCACACACAGUGACACCUGCCCAUCAGCAACUAACAUUCACACACCUUGGUCACAGCUACGGGAGCAAAGUUUGGUGUCUUCAAGGACAUGCAAACUAGCUGGGGAUCAAACCUCUGAUUGAGGAUUGAUGAUGAAGUGCACUAAUGGCUUCUUACAUUAUGGUUAAUAUUACAUUAUGAGCAAAUAAAAUAAAACUAUAAUUCAUGCUUUCUAUCACAAAGGAUGUAAUUUGUGACAAUUGACAAUCUGUUAAUUGUCCUCUGUUCUAAUUUUCUGUAAAGAAUGCAAC